RNAcentral lists this ribosomal RNA (253 nucleotides) under uncultured bacterium. RNAcentral's name for it is "partial 16S ribosomal RNA". It matches the Rfam family "Bacterial small subunit ribosomal RNA", at positions 524 to 776 of the family's 1533-position model. The record is from RNAcentral.
UACGUAGGGUGCGAGCGUUGUCCGGAAUUAUUGGGCGUAAAGGGCUCGUAGGCGGUCUGUCUCGUCGGGAGUGAAAACACGGGGCUUAACCCCGUGCCUGCUUCCGAUACGGGCAGACUAGAGGUAUGCAGGGGAGAACGGAAUUCCUGGUGUAGCGGUGAAAUGCGCAGAUAUCAGGAGGAACACCGGUGGCGAAGGCGGGUCUCUGGGCCGAUAUUGACGCUGAGGAGCGAAAGCGUGGGGAGCGAACAGG